Molecule: ribosomal RNA, 253 nt
Filed under: uncultured bacterium
Lineage: Bacteria
Description: partial 16S ribosomal RNA
Rfam family: Bacterial small subunit ribosomal RNA
Source: RNAcentral
UACGGAGGAUGCAAGCGUUAUCCGGAAUGAUUGGGCGUAAAGGGUCCGCAGGUGGCAGUGUAAGUCUGCUGUCAAAGAAUGAGGCUUAACCUUAUCAAGGCAGUGGAAACUACACAGCUAGAGUACGGUCGGGGUAGAAGGAAUUCCUGGUGUAGCGGUGAAAUGCGUAGAGAUCAGGAAGAACACCGGUGGCGAAAGCGUUCUGCUAGACCUGUACUGACACUGAGGGACGAAAGCUAGGGGAGCGAACGGG